RNAcentral lists this unclassified non-coding RNA (272 nucleotides) under Archaeorhizomyces sp. RNAcentral describes it as "partial contains 5.8S ribosomal RNA, internal transcribed spacer 2, and large subunit ribosomal RNA". The stretch from base 1 to 69 matches the Rfam family "5.8S ribosomal RNA", at positions 84 to 154 of the family's 154-position model. Lineage: Eukaryota; Fungi; Ascomycota; Archaeorhizomycetes; Archaeorhizomycetales; Archaeorhizomycetaceae. The record is from RNAcentral.
GUGAGUCAUCGAAUCUUUGAACGCAUAUUGUGCCCCUCUUUACCGGGGGGCAUGCCUGUCUGAGCGUCAUUAAAUCAAUGAAUCCGAAUUGGGAUUUGUGUUGGGCUCUGCAUCCAGAGUGCAUUGCCUAGAGACCAUAGGUCUUAAUUUGUGGACGAGCUCCUCUUGGACUUACCAUGGAUGGACCAUCCCGAAUGAGGCUCUGCCUCUUGUAUUGACCUCAGAUCAGGUAGGAGGACCGCCUGAACUUAAGCAUAUCAAUAAGCGGAGGA